This 253-nucleotide ribosomal RNA is filed under the name uncultured bacterium. RNAcentral describes it as "partial 16S ribosomal RNA". It matches the Rfam family "Bacterial small subunit ribosomal RNA", at positions 524 to 776 of the family's 1533-position model. The record is from RNAcentral.
UACGUAGGGUGCGAGCGUUGUCCGGAAUUAUUGGGCGUAAGGAGCUUGUAGGCGGUUUGUCGCGUCUGCCGUGAAAAUCCGGGGCUCAACCCCGGACUUGCGGUGGGUACGGGCAGACUAGAGUGUGGUAGGGGAGACUGGAAUUCCUGGUGUAGCGGUGAAAUGCGCAGAUAUCAGGAGGAACACCGAUGGCGAAGGCAGGUCUCUGGGCCACUACUGACGCUGAGAAGCGAAAGCGUGGGGAGCGAACAGG